AUGGACGUCGUGCAAACAAUCGCCUCGGCCGCGCAGCUGGUGUCUGCAAUGGUGACCGCGGUGGGAGCGCUGGAGCAGGCGGCCGCGGACACCGCUGAGGCUCCGAGGAGGCUCCAGGUGCUCGAGGACUUCGUGUCGGACCUUGAGGUGUUGGUGCAGCAGGCUAAGCAGAAGCACGCGCACAAGAUGCACGGCCCACAGCUGGAGCGUCAGUUUCAGAGCUUGAGCAGGCUCAUGGAUCAGCUCCGUGCCAAUAUCAUCAAGGCGAGGCGAGCCUUGAAGAAAGGGAAAGGGAAGGGCUUGGCUAGGGUGGUUUGGAGCUCGGUGGUGGGUGACCCCCUCAUGAAGUACAUUCAGCUGAUCAGAGAUGACCUCAACUGGUGGCUGGAAUUGCAGAAGUUGACAGAGAACGUCGGCAAAGCUAUAGCGUCUACUGCUAAGGCCACACCAUCGUUGGUCAGAGUCAAGUCUGAGCAGGGCUAUCCAGUGUCAGAGAAGUGUGGCUAUGUUAGGGACAUUUUGGAGAGAGAUGAUGGUCAUCGAGUUGUCCUGAUUGUUGGAUUAUCUGGUAUUGGGAAGUCGUGCCUCGCUCGACAAAUAGCUUCUCAGCCGCCUGGUAAUUUUGUGGAUGGUGCAAUUGAGGUUACUUUUGGCCGGUGGUGCAGUAGAGCAGCUUGUAAUGGAAGCAGAAGUGAGUACCAUAAACGUCUUGUUAGGAAGAUAAGCAAAUUGCUAGUGCAGAUUGGUUCCAUGACUGUCAACGAGGAUACGAGCAAAGAUCUUGAAGAUGUAUGUUGCUUGCUUCAGACCGUGUUGGUUGGAAAGAGUAUGUUAAUACUACUCGAUGACGUCUGGGAGCAAGACAUAGUUGAUCGCUUCACCAAGCUAUAUGAUAAUGAUUGCCGGUAUCUUGUGACAACAAGGGAUGAAGCAGUUUAUGAGAUAGCAGAAGCUGAGAAGGUAGAAAUAUCCAAAGAUGACAUCAAGAAAAUCAGCAAGGGCAUUCUUCGCUAUCAUAGUCUGCUUAGUGCUGAAGAGCUUCCGACUGUUGCAGACGACUUGCUGGACAGUUGUGGGCACCAUCCCCUAACAGUUGCUGUCUUGGGUAAGGCCCUAAGGAAGGAGACCAGAAUGGAAAAAUGGGAGAAAGCAAUAUCCAACCUUUCCACAUAUGCAACUUGUGCACCAGGUCCAGUUUCAUAUGUGAACGAGAAAGAAGUUGAGACCACCUUGACCAUAUUUGGAUCUUUUGAGUUCAGCUUGGAAGCAAUGCCUGAAAAUUCACGAAGGUUUUUCAUGGUUCUCGCAGCUAUUUCAUGGGAAGAACCUGUUCCAGAGGCAUGCCUUGAAUCCGUCUGGUCAGCACUUGUGCAGGACAGUUUAUUCCCUAUUGUAGUUUCAAAACUAGUAGAAGGCUCGCUUAUCAUCAAACUGGAAUACCAAUCGAUGUAUCAUAUGCAUGACAUGGUUUCGCUCUACCUUGAGAAUAAAGCAAAUGAUGCUGCUCAUACUCUUCUGACUGAUUCAUUUCCUGAGUAUGCUGCAUUGGUGGCUCCUUGGCUUUUUAUUUUUGGCAAAGAGACCAUGAAAGGGCCAGCUGAGCAGAAGAUGAGAUCAUUCUUUUCUUUGCUAGAGUUCAUGGAGAUUGAAAUCUUACUGGGAAGCACCACCCAAGCUCUCAUGGCAUGCAAAUCAAUAUCUGAAUUUGAGGCUAGCAGACUUGGCUUUAGCAAACUGCUUGGACCUCGAAUAGCAGAGCUAAUUUCUGUUCACAAGCUCUUAUCGUUGCUGUCACCAAAGCUAUUACAGUCGUCUUUUUCCAAGGAGACUAUGCAAAUCUCGCCCUAUCUAUUGAAACAGCAGGUUCUGUUGAUAAAUUAA
RNAcentral lists this ribosomal RNA (1881 nucleotides) under Triticum aestivum (bread wheat). RNAcentral's name for it is "partial small subunit ribosomal RNA". Lineage: Eukaryota; Viridiplantae; Streptophyta; Magnoliopsida; Poales; Poaceae. The record is from RNAcentral.